RNAcentral lists this transfer RNA (74 nucleotides) under bacterium. Its description in RNAcentral is "tRNA-His". It matches the Rfam family "tRNA". From Rfam's summary of the family: Transfer RNA (tRNA) molecules are approximately 80 nucleotides in length. Their secondary structure includes four short double-helical elements and three loops (D, anti-codon, and T loops). The record is from RNAcentral.
GUGGUCGUAGCUUAACUGGUUAAAGCGCCUCGCUGUGGCCGAGGAGACUGCCGGUUCAAAUCCGGUCGAUCACC